UUUGCUUUCUAACCAGAUACGUGAUGUAGAAUGUAUAAAUCAGGAGGUAUAACUAUCACUUAGUUAUUAAGGAAAGAUGAUGAAAGAAGGGCUAGCCUGAAAGAAACUUCUGCCUUCUUUGGAAAUGAGAUGCAAAAAGUAUGGCUCCCUGCUACAACAAAAAUGGAUCCCCCAAGGAGGACAUAACUGGAAUUGCUGUCAUUGUUACCCCUUUGAAAAUCUCAGCCAGCUAGAGGACCAGAGACAUUCUCAUCAAGAUUAAAGCCAGAGCAACCACCACCAACAAAUGAUGACAAAUCCCUGCCAGGAUUGGAGUGGGUUUGAAUGGCAUAGCUGGCCCCUGGUACUCCUGAGUGGUUAGAUCGUCAGUCUUACCUGUUCAUUUUGUUAACCUCAUAGUAGUACAGCAACAUAUUUUACUUGUUUGAAUUGUUUGUGUUAGAAUCAGGUAUUAACCUUGUAGGCAACAUGGAUAAUAUAUUUCUGUAGUUCAACAUAAUUUCCAUUUUAAAUUCACAAUUUAUUAGAGCAGCAGAAAAUAAUGUCAAUAAAAUUGAAGCCUCUUUUUCUUAAGGGAUUGUGCCUAAGGAGCUUACUUAAUUCCAAGACUGGGUGUGUGGUGAGGAGGGGAGAAAAUGGAGAGGACGCUAUGCCUCAUUAUUUCCUAAGAUGCUCAUCAUUCCAAAUGAUCAUCCAUCACUGGUCUUAAGGUCACUUUUGUCUUCUGGUCUCUUUGGGUCUGAAAGAUCUCUGCUAUGUCCAUUAUUCAGGUGGGGGUUUGGAAAUAACUGCAACCUAUCUAGAAACUCAUCUGCCAAAUGAACUUCGCAACAAUUUCCUAUGUGGGGGCAUAUCACCUUCCUGAGACUCUGCCUGAGGUAAAGGCACAGAGCCUCACUCCCUUGAUCAAGCUUCCUUCCAUCCUUCUUACUCCAACCUGUUUUCUGUUUGCCACAGAAAUCUCACCUUCUUUCAGAGACACAAAGGGAACUCUACCCCAAGAUCAAUUUUAUAAAGGCUCAUAAUUCCAGUUCUCUCUUGAUAAUAGAGCAGUCUCGAAAUCAGUUACUAAAUGUAGGGUGGAUUAAUUUUAGAUCUUGUGUAUAGGACUUGGUCUGAAUCCUUUAAAAUCGUAGGUAUAUACUUUACAUAAGCCUUACCCCAAGGGCAGCCAUAAUUUUCUUUCAACCAUAUUUUGUAGGCUGGUGAGUCCUGCACCUGCCCCAAGUUUCAGGCAAUUAACUUGACUGUGGUCUCCUGCCAUGCACACUGAGCUUUAGCUCUCAUUAAUCUGUGGGAGACAAAUUCUAGCUUCCUCUAGACUGAGAACCAGCAGGCCUAGCUCCAGUCUCUAAUCACUAACUUAUCACUGUGACAUUUUUUUCCCUUUCUGGUCUGUGGAGAUAUUUCUCUUCUUUUGAGUUUACCAUAUCUUAGUCAUUUUGCCAUUCUUUAAAAUUAUUCUUUGACUGCUAAGCUUGGAGUUGAUGGAGAAGUUCAAGCCUAAACUCAUAAUGUCAUCCUGACCCUUGGUCCCAAACUGUUGGUAUCUGAUUAUCUAGUUCUCAGGGUGAAUUUGGAUAUUUGUAGACUUGAAGGCCCAAAUAGACAAGUGGACACUCCAUGUUAAUCAUAGCCCAACUUAUCCUAGAAAGAAAAUUAAGUUUAAUUAAGUUCCUCAAUAUAUUUCACCUAAGAUGCAAGAACAAAUAAACCCUGAAAAAUAUUUUUUAUAGUGAAGCCCUUGCUCAGAGAAAAAACAGAACAAAACCUCAAGAACUGUGAUUAAUUAUACUAAAGGAUAUUUUCAGGCAUGGACUUGUCUUGAAAACGUGCUGUUGGGCCUAAUUGUAUUUACAGUUCACACUCAUAUAUAGAGCACUGGUAGACCAGUCAGUGAGUGAAUGAUUAUAGUCCUAUUUUUGGCUUGAACAUUCAUCAAUGUGUGAGUGUUGGCAGGAAAGCCACUAAACUUUUCACAGUAUGUCUUCUCAUUGUAAAAUGGAAAUAUUAAUUCCUGCCAUUAUUGUGGUAUGGUUAUGAAGAACAAACAAAACACAGCCAAAUGAUGCUAUAAAUCUGUUUUGAGAUUAUCCCUGGCACAUUUACCUAGUAAAAUUUUGCAUUCAUUUUGCAUAGUAAAAUGAAUAGUUGUUAUUUUAAAAGAGGGUAAAAAAAAUAAGCUAAGUAAUUCAAGAAUCUAAAAACAACUAUAAAAUAAGCAAUACAUUAAACAAAUAUUAAAAUUACUUAACCAAAAAGAAAGCUAUUUUGUUUAAAAGAUUAGUAGAAUUAAGACGAGAUUUUAAAUGUCUCUUUCUACUGAGGUUAAUGCUAAAAAAUUGUAUCUUUGAGUUUUUUUUUCUUUUUUUAGAAAAUGAUAGUGGAAAAAUUUUUAUCAGAAGAAAGCUUAAAAGCAUAGGUAAAAUUAGCCUUUUUUUCUAGAGAAAAUAUAAGUAUCAAAAAUGACAGAAGGAAUAGAUCAAUUAAAUACUGUAAAGAGUAUAUAGCUAAAAAUAAUCAAUUCCCAAUGUCUCAAAAUUCACCUUAUAGUACUAAUUAUAACUGUGGCCAAAUCUCCAAGGUACAGAUAAUGCUUAUAUAUUAUGACCUUUCCAGACACUAUAAAAAGAGGACAACCUGUCAAGAAAGUUUAUUACUAUCUUUGGUUUUUCAUGUUAUGAUUGUUUAUCUGCUAAGAAAUUAUUGGAACUGUUAUUACAGUUUGUUAUUAAUGCCAAAAAUUAGAUCGAUAUGCAAAGGCCAAUGGAAGAAAUAGUUAGCAACAAUAAGAGAAAAAAGUAUAUAGAGAAAAAAUAUCUAAAAUAUCAGAAAAACCUUUAUGAUAUCAAAGAAUGUAAUAAAAGUAAAACCAUUAUAGAAUAAUAAUUUUUAAAAUAUUUGUGAAAGAUAUGUAUGAAUACCAAAACAGGUGGUAAAAAUCUUGUUAUGGAUAAGAAAAUUCACGGCCAUAAAGCUGUCAAUUUUUUUCAAAAUUAAAGGGCAACCUCCCUCUAGGAUUUUUAAUGUACAUACUAACUUGGUGCAAAAGUCAUUGCAGUUUUUGCCAUUACUUUAAUAGCAAAAACUAAAAAUAACCAAAAUGUCUGGUAGGGGGUCUGCCUGAGCAAGUAUUAAAACAUAAGUAACAAUAAUUAAAGCAGCAUUAUAUUGGCACAGAAAUAGGUAUGAAGGAAUUAAGAGCUGAGGUAGAGUCUCAAGUUUAUACAUAAUUUUUUAUUGUUGAACAAUUCUAUGGAGAUAAGUUUUGCAUACAAAAAUUUCAUGUUUAAAGAAAUAAUUUGGUGUUUUGAGAUAUGUAUUUAUGCAUGUUAAAAAAUUGAUCACUCACAAAAAUUUCCUCCACUUUGUACUCUCUUUCUUAGAGUCCUUCCCAUUCUAGGAAGCCAAUGAUUGUCUUUCUAUCAUUAGAGACUAGUUUGCAUUUUUAAGCAUUUUAUAUGAAUGGAGUAAUACAAUGCAUACUCUCAUUUUGUCUGGCUUAUUUCACUCAGUGUAAGAGAUGUCUCAAACCUGUUGCCAACAGUUUUGCAUCAAUAGUUAAUUCUUUUCAUUGCUGAGUAGUAUUCCAUUGUAUAGAUGUAUCAUAAUUUAUCUGCUUACACACUGAUGGACAUUUGGAUUCUUUCCAGUUUUUGGCUAUUAUCAUAAAAGUUUCUUGAAGAAUUUUAUAAAAGUCUUGGUAUGAAUAUUUUCAUUCAUUUCUGCUGGGUACAAACUUAGGAGUGGAGUGUCUGGAACAUAUGGUAGAUGCAUGUUUAACAUUUUAAGAAACUGCCAAAUCAUUUUCCAAAAUACAUGUAUUACUAGGAUAAGUUAGAGUGAAUUAUCUCCAUACCCUCUUGAAAUAGGUUGACCAUGUCAAUCUAUUUUUAUGUAGUCAUUAUACUGAGUGUGCAGUGGUAUGGCCAUGUCAAUCUAUUUUUAUGUAGUCAUUAUACUGAGUGUGCAGUGGUAUGGCCAUGUCAAUCUAUUUUUAUGUAGUCAUUAUACUGAGUGUGCAGUGGUACCUAAUUUUGGUUUCAGCGACUAAGGGGUUGAGC
Molecule: long non-coding RNA, 4064 nt
Filed under: Homo sapiens (human)
Lineage: Eukaryota; Metazoa; Chordata; Mammalia; Primates; Hominidae
Description: HSALNT0173524
Source: RNAcentral